RNAcentral lists this ribosomal RNA (574 nucleotides) under uncultured bacterium. RNAcentral's name for it is "bacterial SSU rRNA". It matches the Rfam family "Bacterial small subunit ribosomal RNA", at positions 37 to 643 of the family's 1533-position model. The record is from RNAcentral.
UGGCGGCGUGCCUAACACAUGCAAGUCGAACGAGAAAGUGGAGCAAUCCAUGAGUAAAGUGGCGACCGGGUGAGUAACACGUGACUAACCUACCUCCGAGUGGGGAAUAACUCCGGGAAACCGGGGCUAAUACCGCAUAACAUCGCAAGAUCAAAGCAGCAAUGCGCUUGGAGAGGGGGUCGCGGCUGAUUAGCUCGUUGGCGGGGUAACGGCCCACCAAGGCGAAGAUCGGUAUCCGGCCUGAGAGGGCGCACGGACACACUGGAACUGAAACACGGUCCAGACUCCUACGGGAGGCAGCAGUGGGGAAUUUUGCGCAAUGGGGGAAACCCUGACGCAGCAACGCCGCGUGGAGGAUGAAGCCCUUUGGGGCGUAAACUCCUUUCGACUCGGACGAUAAUGACGGUACGAGCGGAAGAAGCACCAGCUAACUCUGUGCCAGCAGCCGCGGUAAUACAGAGGGUGCGAGCGUUGUUCGGAAUUAUUGGGCGUAAAGGGCGCGUANGCGGUGCGGUAAGUCACCUGUGAAAUCUCCCGGCUUAACUGGGAGCCUGCAGGCGAAACUACCGUGCUG